Molecule: ribosomal RNA, 251 nt
Filed under: uncultured bacterium
Lineage: Bacteria
Description: partial 16S ribosomal RNA
Rfam family: Bacterial small subunit ribosomal RNA
Source: RNAcentral
UACGGGGGGAGCAAGCGUUGUUCGGAUUUACUGGGCGUAAAGGCGCGUAGGCGGCGUGACAAGUCACUUGUGAAAUCUCCGGGCUUAACUCGGAACGGUCAAGUGAUACUGUCGGACUAGAGUACAGAAGGGGCAACUGGAAUUCUCGGUGUAGCGGUGAAAUGCGUAGAUAUCGAGAGGAACACCUGCGGCGAAGGCGGGUUGCUGGGCUGAUACUGACGCUGAGGCGCGAAAGCCAGGGAGCGAACGGG